This is a long non-coding RNA of Anneissia japonica, 506 nucleotides long. RefSeq lists it as uncharacterized. The record is from RefSeq and is a predicted model, not a curated record. The transcript has 3 exons. Lineage: Eukaryota; Metazoa; Echinodermata; Crinoidea; Comatulida; Comatulidae.
UGCCCGCACAAAUUUUCUGCCUGCCGCAUGGACAGUAAUUACCAGAACGGAUUCUGCCGCAACCGGGUUAAGAACUAAGAGCUUGAGUUGAAAAAUAUAAAGGGUUAUUAGAGGGGCGGUCCAUCUCCUCAAGGAUUAGACUAACAGCUUGUGAUUUACCUUAGACCAACAUAAAGGAUGCUCGUCAGGAUCUGUUUUUUCAUGGCGUAUCUGUCAGUGGGUGUAACUGUUCGAAGUAACGAGUCCCUGCUGACGGAGCAACUGCUCGCCGAAUAUGGACCGCGGACUACUCGUCCCGUCGAUAAUUCAAAUUCAACAAUCAACGUGACGUUAAGAUUUAUCAUAACUCAAGUCAUAAACUUGGUAAAAUAUUCACAUUUAUGUUCGUAUUAUUAUUAAUUAUGUAAAUAGCUUUCUCUAUGCUUUUCGUUCAAAAUAAUCAUGUGAAAUUAUACUUUUUUCUUUCUUUCACAUCCAAUAGCUAGUAAAGCAUUACAAAUUUAUUU